This 1552-nucleotide ribosomal RNA is filed under the name Salmonella enterica subsp. enterica serovar Bareilly str. CFSAN000661. RNAcentral's name for it is "bacterial SSU rRNA". It matches the Rfam family "Bacterial small subunit ribosomal RNA". The record is from RNAcentral. Lineage: Bacteria; Pseudomonadati; Pseudomonadota; Gammaproteobacteria; Enterobacterales; Enterobacteriaceae.
AAAUUGAAGAGUUUGAUCAUGGCUCAGAUUGAACGCUGGCGGCAGGCCUAACACAUGCAAGUCGAACGGUAACAGGAAGCAGCUUGCUGCUUCGCUGACGAGUGGCGGACGGGUGAGUAAUGUCUGGGAAACUGCCUGAUGGAGGGGGAUAACUACUGGAAACGGUGGCUAAUACCGCAUAACGUCGCAAGACCAAAGAGGGGGACCUUCGGGCCUCUUGCCAUCAGAUGUGCCCAGAUGGGAUUAGCUUGUUGGUAAGGUAACGGCUCACCAAGGCGACGAUCCCUAGCUGGUCUGAGAGGAUGACCAGCCACACUGGAACUGAGACACGGUCCAGACUCCUACGGGAGGCAGCAGUGGGGAAUAUUGCACAAUGGGCGCAAGCCUGAUGCAGCCAUGCCGCGUGUAUGAAGAAGGCCUUCGGGUUGUAAAGUACUUUCAGCGGGGAGGAAGGUGUUGUGGUUAAUAACCGCAGCAAUUGACGUUACCCGCAGAAGAAGCACCGGCUAACUCCGUGCCAGCAGCCGCGGUAAUACGGAGGGUGCAAGCGUUAAUCGGAAUUACUGGGCGUAAAGCGCACGCAGGCGGUCUGUCAAGUCGGAUGUGAAAUCCCCGGGCUCAACCUGGGAACUGCAUUCGAAACUGGCAGGCUUGAGUCUUGUAGAGGGGGGUAGAAUUCCAGGUGUAGCGGUGAAAUGCGUAGAGAUCUGGAGGAAUACCGGUGGCGAAGGCGGCCCCCUGGACAAAGACUGACGCUCAGGUGCGAAAGCGUGGGGAGCAAACAGGAUUAGAUACCCUGGUAGUCCACGCCGUAAACGAUGUCUACUUGGAGGUUGUGCCCUUGAGGCGUGGCUUCCGGAGCUAACGCGUUAAGUAGACCGCCUGGGGAGUACGGCCGCAAGGUUAAAACUCAAAUGAAUUGACGGGGGCCCGCACAAGCGGUGGAGCAUGUGGUUUAAUUCGAUGCAACGCGAAGAACCUUACCUGGUCUUGACAUCCACAGAACUUUCCAGAGAUGGAUUGGUGCCUUCGGGAACUGUGAGACAGGUGCUGCAUGGCUGUCGUCAGCUCGUGUUGUGAAAUGUUGGGUUAAGUCCCGCAACGAGCGCAACCCUUAUCCUUUGUUGCCAGCGGUUAGGCCGGGAACUCAAAGGAGACUGCCAGUGAUAAACUGGAGGAAGGUGGGGAUGACGUCAAGUCAUCAUGGCCCUUACGACCAGGGCUACACACGUGCUACAAUGGCGCAUACAAAGAGAAGCGACCUCGCGAGAGCAAGCGGACCUCAUAAAGUGCGUCGUAGUCCGGAUUGGAGUCUGCAACUCGACUCCAUGAAGUCGGAAUCGCUAGUAAUCGUGGAUCAGAAUGCCACGGUGAAUACGUUCCCGGGCCUUGUACACACCGCCCGUCACACCAUGGGAGUGGGUUGCAAAAGAAGUAGGUAGCUUAACCUUCGGGAGGGCGCUUACCACUUUGUGAUUCAUGACUGGGGUGAAGUCGUAACAAGGUAACCGUAGGGGAACCUGCGGUUGGAUCACCUCCUUACCUUAAAGAA